Molecule: long non-coding RNA, 1467 nt
Organism: Salarias fasciatus (jewelled blenny)
Lineage: Eukaryota; Metazoa; Chordata; Actinopteri; Blenniiformes; Blenniidae
Exons: 3
Source: RefSeq, a predicted model, not a curated record
AGGAGGCGGACGCUUUUUCUGUUGCUGCUACUUUGCUUCUCCCUCCAUCUUGUCUCUGCUUGCUGCACUCUCGUCUCGUGCGUUUGACUGGAGUAAUCACUUGACGAGGUUUUUCCUAACAAACCAAAAUAUCAACCAUGGAAUUGAUCAGCUGGUCAGCUGAUCAACUUGAUCAAUGCAAUUGAUUUGAUUUUUUUUUCAACGAAGAGCAGAGGAGCGGGGGAACCUGCCUGCCCAGACGGGACUCGGCAUGCUGGGUAUGUGAUUGACGCCUGGGGCAAGUUGAGGGGUGUCACAUGCCUGGCACCCCUGUCCGUGGGGGGACAUAGGAAAUUUUUGCUUUUUCGAAUUUGUGAUGACUGGCCUGCAGCUGAUUGGUUUGUGCUGCAGCCUGAUCUUCUGGAGGAUUAAGAAGAUCGCCACCACAAAAGACGUCCAAGGGAGGACGGUCUUUUCAAACCAACAGGCAAAAGCUGGCGCUGACCGUGUGUGCGAACUCUUUCAAAAGGUGGACAAUUUGCCUGGGGCUUUGGACGAUUUGAGACGCAAGAUGGAUUUCAUCUCGAGAAGUUUAAACUCAGCUGCUGUCUGAAAAGCUGAGCACCAAGCAGAGGAAGGUCAAACGGCUCCUUCCACACCAAAAGGAGAUACCUUCUGAUUGCAUCCCUUGGAAUUCAAAACAAUCCUCUGAAAGGCCCAAGGUCAAAGGAUCGCUUAUCUAUCUCCUUUCCGUCUCACUCCCAAUGCAAUCCAAACUCACUCUGGACUGCUUCUGAUGAGGCCAUCUCCACAGCAAGUAUCAUCUGCAAGUGGGUCACCUGGAGCGAACCGAUAUCCUCACACCUGCACCCACGAUGUUUCCGUACCCCAAACCAACCACCUCACCCACCCUUCUGAUGUUUGAUUCCCCUGUCAGCCACCUGUAAAUCGCUGCCGGGGCAAACAUUUUAUUUCGGUCUUAAUAAUUCAAUUAAUUCAAUGCUCCACAAGAAGCUAAGCAAAGUUGGGCUGGAUGACGACACCCAGCAGCUGAAGAAAGUUCUCCUGCCGGCUGACAUUUGAGGCCGUAGCACCUCACCACAGGCUCUGCUUGUCCAGAUGUUUCCAUCAACGCAACACAGAUGGUGUAACUACGACGUUUUUACUGGGAGAACUGAUAAUUGAUAAGGGAUUUGUUAUUGAGGCUUUCUGAAGAAAAGAUGAGUCGAGUCUCCUGUUCAACAGAAUUCUCAACUUCAUCCGUCCUCUUUCAGAGCAUGGUCUCUUCAGCUGGGUCCAUUUUGGCGUUAUAUAUACUGACUGGCAGAGUGCCGAGGUAAGCCAAGAAACUGUGACCAAUCACAGAAGACUUUGCGGACCACCCAAACGAAGAAAGUUCGCUUGAGGGGGCCAGGUGAUUGUACAUCUACCAUGAGAGCGUUUGUAUCUGUAAAGCAAGACUAUAGGUGCCCGGACUAAUAAUGAGCG